RNAcentral lists this ribosomal RNA (752 nucleotides) under uncultured bacterium. RNAcentral's name for it is "bacterial SSU rRNA". It matches the Rfam family "Bacterial small subunit ribosomal RNA", at positions 52 to 792 of the family's 1533-position model. The record is from RNAcentral.
CACAUGCAGUCGAGGGGCAGCAUUUUAGUUUGCUUGCAAACUAAAGAUGGCGACCGGCGCACGGGUGAGUAACACGUAUCCAACCUGCCGAUAACUCGGGGAUAGCCUUUCGAAAGAAAGAUUAAUAUCCGAUGGUAUAUUAAAACCGCAUGGUUUUACUAUUAAAGAAUUUCGGUUAUCGAUGGGGAUGCGUUCCAUUAGUUUGUUGGCGGGGUAACGGCCCACCAAGACUACGAUGGAUAGGGGUUCUGAGAGGAAGGUCCCCCACAUUGGAACUGAGACACGGUCCAAACUCCUACGGGAGGCAGCAGUGAGGAAUAUUGGUCAAUGGACGAGAGUCUGAACCAGCCAAGUAGCGUGAAGGAUGACUGCCCUAUGGGUUGUAAACUUCUUUUAUAUGGGAAUAAAGUAUUCCACGUGUGGGAUUUUGUAUGUACCAUAUGAAUAAGGAUCGGCUAACUCCGUGCCAGCAGCCGCGGUAAUACGGAGGAUCCGAGCGUUAUCCGGAUUUAUUGGGUUUAAAGGGAGCGUAGGUGGAUUGUUAAGUCAGUUGUGAAAGUUUGCGGCUCAACCGUAAAAUUGCAGUUGAAACUGGCAGUCUUGAGUACAGUAGAGGUGGGCGGAAUUCGUGGUGUAGCGGUGAAAUGCUUAGAUAUCACGAAGAACUCUGAUUGCGAAGGCAGCUCACUAGACUGCAACUGACACUGAUGCUCGAAAGUGUGGGUUAUCAAACAGGAUUAGAUACCCUGGUU